Molecule: non-coding RNA, 113 nt
Organism: Acanthosepion pharaonis
Lineage: Eukaryota; Metazoa; Mollusca; Cephalopoda; Sepiida; Sepiidae
Source: the annotation of a GenBank genome assembly
UAUGACCACAUCACGUUGAAAUACCAGUCCCCGUACGAUUAUAGAAGUUAAGAAAAGUCGAGCCUGGUCAGUAACUAAAUGGGUGACCGCUUGGGAGUACCAGGUGCUGUAUG